This 742-nucleotide ribosomal RNA is filed under the name uncultured beta proteobacterium. Its description in RNAcentral is "bacterial SSU rRNA". It matches the Rfam family "Bacterial small subunit ribosomal RNA", at positions 61 to 794 of the family's 1533-position model. The record is from RNAcentral. Lineage: Bacteria; Pseudomonadati; Pseudomonadota; Betaproteobacteria.
GUCGAACGGCAGCAUAGAGAGCUUGCUCUCUGAUGGCGAGUGGCGAACGGGUGAGUAAUAUAUCGGAACGUGCCCAGUAAUGGGGAAUAACUAACUGAAAGGUUAGCUAAUACCGCAUACGACCUACGGGUGAAAGCAGGGGAUCUUAGGACCUUGCGUUAUUGGAGCGGCCGAUAUCUGAUUAGCUUGUUGGUGGGGUAAAAGCCUACCAAGGCAACGAUCAGUAGCUGGUCUGAGAGGACGAUCAGCCACACUGGAACUGAGACACGGUCCAGACUCCUACGGGAGGCAGCAGUGGGGAAUUUUGGACAAUGGGGGAAACCCUGAUCCAGCCAUCCCGCGUGAGUGAAGAAGGCCUUCGGGUUGUAAAGCUCUUUCGAAAGUGAAGAAAACUUAUUUCGUAAUAUGUUAUAAGUAUGACGGUAACUUUAGAAGAAGCACCGGCUAACUACGUGCCAGCAGCCGCGGUAAUACGUAGGGUGCGAGCGUUAAUCGGAAUUACUGGGCGUAAGGCGUGCGCAGGCGGUUUUGUAAGUCAGAUGUGAAAUCCCCGAGCUUAACUUGGGAACUGCGUUUGAAACUACAAGACUAGAGUGUGUCAGAGGGGGGUAGAAUUCCACGUGUAGCAGUGAAAUGCGUAGAGAUGUGGAGGAAUACCAAUGGCGAAGGCAGCCCCCUGGGAUAACACUGACGCUCAUGCACGAAAGCGUGGGGAGCGAACAGGAUUAGAUACCCUGGUAGA